GGGGCGGAGAAAGUGUGUGUGCAGGAGAGGAGUCGAGUAGAGAGAGCUGCUUUUUCAUGAAACAGGAGUAAAGUAGUGAACUUACAGGAACAUAUACCACUACCAACGUUUGGAUCGAUAUCUGCAUCGAUCUGCACACCCUUGUCUCCUGGAUUGUAGCUGAGAUCAGCGUGAACCACGUGGGUCUCUGCUCCCUGAUCUGUUUCUUAAGACUUCCAGCUUCAUCACGGAAUUUCUCUCGGUUUGUGGGCUCAUCUAAAGCUGAGUAACAGGAGGAGAAGAGUCUGGUGGUGCAACAGAGGAACAGUUUCAUCCAUUUGGACUCAGCUCAGCCACUACAGAGGAAACAAUCAAUGUCUUCAACACAAAAGGACCAACAUGGAGCGAGAAGUCAGCGCUCUCAGGAGGCCGACAAACCUCACAGAAGAAAGGGAAAGAAAACCUACAGCUGUGAUGAGUGUGGGAAGGAUUUCACCCAGAGUGGACAUUUAAAAACACACCAACUCAUCCACAGUGGAGUUAAACCGUACAGCUGUGAUGAGUGUGGGAAGUCUUUUACCCGGACUGGAAGUUUAAAAACACACCAACUCAUCCACAGUGGAGUUAAACCUUACAGCUGUGAGUUGUGUGGAAAGUCUUUUGCCCAGGCUGGAAGCUUAAAAACACACCAACUCAUCCACAGUGGAGUUAAACCUUACAGCUGUGACUUGUGUGGAAAGUCUUUUGCCCGGGCUGGAAACUUAAAAACGCACCAACUCAUCCACAGUGGAGUUAAACCUUACAGCUGUGAAUUGUGUGGUAAGGCUUUUGUUCUAAAAGGCGACUUACAGAGGCAUCUAGUUACUCACUCUGGAAUUAAGGCGUACAGCUGCGACUUUUGUGGAAAAAGUUUCAGCGAGAAACAGUACCGAAAUAUUCACCUACGGAUUCACACUAGAAAUGAAGUUUCCUGCUGUGAUCAGUGUGGGAAACCAUUUACAACAGAUGGACAGUUACAACAACACAUGUUUAGCCACACUGAGGAGAGACCUUAUAAAUGUGACCUGUGUGAGAAGACUUUUAAAGCUCCAAAACAGCUGAAAAAACACCAACAGAUCCACACCAGAAAGUAACUCUACAAGUGCAGUUACUGUGAGGAUGUAUUGAUGUUUUAUCUUGUAAUUUUAACCUGAUUGUUUGGAAAAAGUCUGAUCAGUAAACUUAUGGAGUUAUACUGAAUGAACUGUUUGGAAAAAUGAAGACUAAUUUUCACCCAGUAAGCUGAGUGUUAUAAUGUAAACAGUAAAAUUUAAUUGGACGUUGGCAGAGAUGCUCUUUAUUUCAGGUGACGUUCAGGAUAAAAACGUUGAAGGAAUUCCCUGACUCAGCUGCCAGAAUAUUACUGUUUUUUUGAGAUGUUUUUUUUCCCAUUUAUAGAUGAUUUCACUGUUUAAUGACAUUAACGUGUUCCUACGUUAAUGUUUAAAAUCACUUAAAAAAGGUGAGAUCCCAUGUCAAAUUAGCGCAACUAAUUGUAUUUUCAUUACUGGAAAUAACCGUAUUUUUAUGCGGGAGUUAUUUUCUGUAAUUAUACGGUCGUAUUUUGGCGCCCCAGCUGCCGGAAUAUCACCGUUUUUUCAAGACGCUUUUUCUAACAGUGUUAUUGAUUCCCUAUAAUUCACAGUAUUUGCUAUGUUGUUCAGAUUAUUUUACACAGUGUUUGUCAUGUCAUUUGAUUUAGUCAGUGACUCUAAUUAUUCUGUAACAGCUGAUCUCUACCCGAGCAACAGUUUGUGCAGCUCAAUCUUCGCAGAACAAGUUUGAUCUUAUAAACAGCUGCUGAGCAGAAAGA
Long non-coding RNA from Pelmatolapia mariae (spotted tilapia), 1831 nucleotides. RefSeq lists it as uncharacterized. The transcript has 3 exons. Lineage: Eukaryota; Metazoa; Chordata; Actinopteri; Cichliformes; Cichlidae. The record is from RefSeq and is a predicted model, not a curated record.